GCGGCGGUAUCAAAGUCUGGUCAAAUGAGAUAGACUCAAGAUCUAUUCCCUUAGUGGGUUCGCAGGUUCGAAUCCUGCCCGCCGCA
RNAcentral lists this transfer RNA (86 nucleotides) under Candidatus Woesearchaeota archaeon. RNAcentral's name for it is "tRNA-Leu". It matches the Rfam family "tRNA". Rfam says of the family: Transfer RNA (tRNA) molecules are approximately 80 nucleotides in length. Lineage: Archaea; Nanobdellati; Candidatus Woesearchaeota. The record is from RNAcentral.